GUCUUCUACAUAGACUAUUAGAUUUCUUCUCUUUCUUCUCCACCACGAGCUCCUUCAACAAUGGACUGCAACAAUCCUCAGUCCUUUCUCCUUCUAAAAUCCCAAUAUGUUAAAUCUCAAAUCGCCAUUAGCAUCGAUUUGUUAUAUUUCUCGCGUCACCUGAUUUAGUACAAAGAUAUGAAGUUUAUGGACUUCGAUUCGCUAUAUGAUCCGUCUAUAUAUUCAAUCUUAUUCAAUCUUAUAGGAUUUAUCGGUGAGGAUAAAAUUGAAUUGUAAGGUUUUUUCUAUUGAAUUGUGUGUGUGCAGUGAUUUAUCGGUGGGGAUAGAAUUGAAUUAUAAGGUUUUUGUUGAUGAUUUUUGUGUGUGUUGUUUUAAUUCAAAGCCCUUUUUUCUUUCGAGAACUUUAUAUACAUACACAUUGACGAGUGUCGCCAUAAAACCUCUGCUUCGGCUCCAGCAAAACCCUAAUCAGAUUCUUCGUCUCAAAAAGUGAGAAGGUUUACACCACUAAGAUUCAAGGAGGGCAAGUGCGUCAGUGAUCAGAUACAAUGUCAGCUUUGUUCAAUUUCCAUUCAUUCCUGACGGUGGUGCUGCUUGGUGGAUCUGAACUUGCACUUAUCUGAAAUUGCAGUUCCCUGCUAUUUUGGAGCAGAAAACUGGGUUUGUACAAUCCAUGUUAUAAAGGGUGAAAAAGGUUAUCCCUUCCACGCACCUCUCAUUUAUUUUGGUCAACUAAGAAAAUGCAUCAUCAACAUGUCAUCAAGCGUUACACACAAUUAAGAUUCUAAGAUUUGUGUAUUUAUUUAUAUUCUUAACUCCAGUACUUGACUCUCAUAUCUUGCUUGAGAUUUUAAUUUUCUACUAUUAAAACGGAAAUUGGACUAAACCAUUCUCACUCCACAUUAUGUCGUUUAGCCUUUCUAUAGGACUACUAUAAUUCCUAUCACACCAUCCACAAACACGAAUUCAUCCUUCCACCUUGAUUAAAAAAAAAACUGAAACUUUAUAUUUUGAGAAAGUGUCUUACGUUGAUGUUGUUGUCAUUCCU
Camelina sativa (false flax) is the source of this 1048-nucleotide long non-coding RNA. RefSeq lists it as uncharacterized. Lineage: Eukaryota; Viridiplantae; Streptophyta; Magnoliopsida; Brassicales; Brassicaceae. The record is from RefSeq and is a predicted model, not a curated record.